Monodelphis domestica (gray short-tailed opossum) is the source of this 114-nucleotide Y RNA. It matches the Rfam family "Y RNA". From Rfam's summary of the family: Y RNAs are components of the Ro ribonucleoprotein particle (Ro RNP), in association with Ro60 and La proteins. The Y RNAs and Ro60 and La proteins are well conserved, but the function of the Ro RNP is not known. The record is from Ensembl. Lineage: Eukaryota; Metazoa; Chordata; Mammalia; Didelphimorphia; Didelphidae.
AACUGGUCCAAAAAAGAUAAAGUGAUCACAACCUAUUGUUCACAGACAGUUCCAGAUCUGUCUCCUUGUUCUCUCUUUCUCUCCCUUCUCACUAUUUCACUUGACUAGUCUUAA